Molecule: non-coding RNA, 783 nt
Filed under: Tiniocellus spinipes
Lineage: Eukaryota; Metazoa; Arthropoda; Insecta; Coleoptera; Scarabaeidae
Source: RNAcentral
UAGAAAUUUGAUUUUAGUUUUUAAAUUUGAUUUAUAUUUUUAUUAUAUGUAAAUUUUUAUAGUAAAUUUUUUUAAUAAGAAUUUAUAAUUAAGUAGCAAUAAUUAAAUUUAUACAAUAAAAGAAAUUUUGAUAUAGGAAUAUAUAAUAGUAUUAGUGAAAUUUGUGCCAGCAACUGCGGUUAAACAAAUAAUACAAUUAAAUUUUAUUUAAUAAUAAUUAAUAAAAAUAAAAUUUUAAUUAAAAGUUAAAUUUAUUAGGUGAAAUUACAAAUUUAAAUUAAAUUAAUAAAUUAAUUUAUGAAAUUAUGAAAUUUUUAUUAUAAACUAGGAUUAGAUACCCUAUUAUAAAAAAUGUAAAUUUAAAUAUUAGGGGAGUAUUAGGUAUGUUCUUGAAAUUUAAAAAUUUUGGCGGUAUUUUAGUCUUUUCAGAGGAAUCUGUCCUGUAAUUGAUAAUCCACGAUUAAUUUUACUUAAUUUACAAGUUUAUAUAUCGUCGUAGAUAGAAUAUUUUAAAAAAAUUUUAAUAUUCAAAAUUUAUAAUAUUAAAAGAAAUCAGAUCAAGGUGUAGCUUACAAUUAAGGAGAGAUGGAUUACAAUAAAAGUAUUUAAAUGGUUAUGAUAAUUAACAUUAUUAUAUAAAGUGGAUUUGAUAGUAAUAUAUUUAAUUUAAAAUAUAUGAUUUAAGCUCUAAAAUAUGCACAUAUCGCCCGUCGCUUUCAUUGAAAGGUAAAGUGAAAUAAGUCGUAACAUAGUAGAUGUAUCGGAAGAUGUAUCUGGGUUGAU